RNAcentral lists this long non-coding RNA (559 nucleotides) under Pongo abelii (Sumatran orangutan). Its description in RNAcentral is "lincRNA". The record is from RNAcentral. Lineage: Eukaryota; Metazoa; Chordata; Mammalia; Primates; Hominidae.
AAGUCCAAGCUUCCUCAUGAAGAGGAUCACAUCAAGAGUGAAGCCAAAGCCAAAGCCACAGGAAGCACAGCCAGAAUGGGGACAUAGGAACGAGGGGGCUCCCAUGAGUUGACCUGACAGCUGAGAGAUGGCGACCUAGACCUUGGGGUCAAAAUAUACUACGUUUUCGUUAAUCCAUGAUUCAACCUGAAGAAGAAGGAAAGAACUGGACAUCCAGAUUAGUACAUCGAUAGCGAAGAAAAAAAGAGGAGGGAGCACACAGGUGAGCAGGUGCAGGAACCAGCCGGACAAUUUAGUGCCAGCAGGAUUGAACUCCGAACAGGCCCCACUGCAGUAUCCAGGUGGGAGUGCCUGUGACUUCUGAAGCCACAGAGGCAUUCUUUUGCUACUUACAUGGUGGAACUCCUUGAACAGAAUAACAGACCAUAGUGCCUGCCUGGAAUUCAGACUGGAAAAGAUUGAAAUAUCUGUAUAGUUCAUAUAUCUGAAACACUGACUUCAUCUCACUCAUGAGAAUUCAACAGUUACGCUAAAGAUUGUGUUAUGGGAGCUCCUAGAG